GAUCGGGUGUUGGCUUCGGCUCAGCACAUCGGUUGAUGCACUUGUUAUUUGUUGCGCUGGCACGGUUGAUGAUGCCGUUGGAAGUGGUUGUAGAGGUGCUGUUCUUCGGAAGGGUAAACCUGCAAUCAUGAAAGACGUGUUGUUGUUAAUCGAUGUUGUUACAACAACGCAACAGUGAGUGUGCUGUAAGUGUGAGUGUUGACUAUGGGUCUUCGCAUGCGAAGGCCUUAGCCAGUGCUUAUGCUUGUAGUAUUAUGAUCUGAGGCGUUUGUCAGUGUACAUUUGUACUGUCACCUAUCCGUCCCGUCUUGAAACACGGACCAAGGAGUUUAUCGUAUGUGCGAGUUAUUGGGUGAUUAAAACCUAAUGGCGUAAUGAAAGUAAAGGUUUUGCUUGCAAAACUGAUAUGUGAUCCGGAUGUCCUUCGGGGCUUCGGCGCAGCAUAGCCCCAUCUCGGUUGCUUGCAACGGGGUGGAGGUAGAGCAUAUGCNAUGAGACCCGAAAGAUGGUGAACUAUGCCCGGGCAGGAUGAAGCCGGAGGAAACUC
This 547-nucleotide ribosomal RNA is filed under the name Panagrellus redivivoides. Its description in RNAcentral is "LSU rRNA". It matches the Rfam family "Eukaryotic large subunit ribosomal RNA", at positions 417 to 864 of the family's 3401-position model. Lineage: Eukaryota; Metazoa; Nematoda; Chromadorea; Rhabditida; Panagrolaimidae. The record is from RNAcentral.